RNAcentral lists this ribosomal RNA (467 nucleotides) under uncultured bacterium. RNAcentral describes it as "partial 16S ribosomal RNA". It matches the Rfam family "Bacterial small subunit ribosomal RNA", at positions 28 to 506 of the family's 1533-position model. The record is from RNAcentral.
GACGAACGCUGGCGGCGUGCUUAACACAUGCAAGUCGAACGGAAAGGCCCUGCUUUUGUGGGGUGCUCGAGUGGCGAACGGGUGAGUAACACGUGAGUAACCUGCCCUUGACUUUAGGAUAACUUCAGGAAACUGGGGCUAAUACCGGAUAGGAGCUCCUGCUGCAUGGUGGGGGUUGGAAAGUUUCGGCGGUUGGGGAUGGACUCGCGGCUUAUCAGCUUGUUGGUGGGGUAGUGGCUUACCAAGGCUUUGACGGGUAGCCGGCCUGAGAGGGUGACCGGCCACAUUGGGACUGAGAUACGGCCCAGACUCCUACGGGAGGCAGCAGUGGGGAAUAUUGCACAAUGGGCGGAAGCCUGAUGCAGCAACGCCGCGUGCGGGAUGACGGCCUUCAGGUUGUAAACCGCUUUCGCCUGUGACGAAGCGUGAGUGACGGUAAUGGGUAAAGAAGCACCGGCUAACUACGU